GGAAAAGAAUAAUUACCCUGUCCAGUGACGCACUUGCCCUGUAUCGUCAAGUUAUUACCGAAAGGACAACAGAGCUGAAGAAUGAUAUUUUAAAUUUAUUCUGCAUGUAAACCAUUGGGAUAAAAUGAAGACGAGAUAGAUGACAAGUGCUAAGAACAAUAAGUUUUUUUGAUUCUGAUGCGUGAGAAUAAUACGUGACAACUCUGCAGUUUGAAAUGCUCUUUGUUUUCGAGAUAAUGACAUUCGUUAAUAUAAACAGGUCCAUUUCGUAGAUCAUGGACAACUGCAUUGCCUGUGCUAUAUCUUUCACGCUGCAGUUUCUGGUAAAGACAAUGUCAAAUGUAAAUAACAUGUAGUCUUCCGGAAUUUUUAUUAUCGAAAUCGAUCGUGUAACUAUAUAGAGAGGUAUAGAGUUUGAUAUAACAUAAGCAGUUGAUAUUAGGCCACAAUUACGUAGAAAAUUUACAAGUGAGUUGAUGAUUGAUUAAAAAUAGAUAAAAUAGAAUUAAAAAUAA
Molecule: long non-coding RNA, 515 nt
Organism: Wasmannia auropunctata (little fire ant)
Lineage: Eukaryota; Metazoa; Arthropoda; Insecta; Hymenoptera; Formicidae
Exons: 2
Source: RefSeq, a predicted model, not a curated record